AUGCUGGACCUCGGCGGCCAGGGCCUCAUCUACCUAGACACCGUUGUCCCGAUGAAGCUCAUCGACCGCAUCAAGUCCGACUAUAAGGCCGCCCAUUCCGGGUACUGCACAACGUUCGAGGCGACGGCCGCCGUGCUGUGGCGGUGCCGCAGACGCGCGAUCAUCGGCGACGACCCCGACGGCUAUGACAUGUCCACGCCGGCACCGCUGGCCUUCUUCGUGAACGUGCGCAAGCACGUAGGCACGGCGGCGGGGUAUUAUGGAAACUGCGCGGUCGCGCAGCUGGCGUUCGCGACGACCGGAGAGGUGGCCGGCGCAGGGGACGAGGGCAUGAACGGCUUGGUGGACCUGAUCAAGCGCGCCAAGGACGGGGUCCCGGGGCUGCUGAGAGGCAUGAGAGCCGGCGGCAGCGCGGUGGACGGGAUGGGGGAGGAGGAGAUAGCAGCGGCGUUCGGGUACAACGCGCUGAUGGUGACGUGCUGGCGGACCAUCAGGUUCGACGACGCCGACUUUGGCGGCGGCGGGCCGGCGAGGGUGGUGGGGCGUUGGCAGCAGACGACGCUGCCGUGCGUGGCGUUAGUGUCCUGCGGGGCCACGGGCGAGAGGCUGCUGACGCAGUGCGUCAGGGCGGAGCACGCCGCCGCGUUGCUCGCCGAGCUGGACCAGCGCACACGCCUGGCCUGA
This 684-nucleotide ribosomal RNA is filed under the name Triticum aestivum (bread wheat). RNAcentral's name for it is "partial small subunit ribosomal RNA". Lineage: Eukaryota; Viridiplantae; Streptophyta; Magnoliopsida; Poales; Poaceae. The record is from RNAcentral.